CCUACGGGAGGCAGCAGUGGGGAAUCCUGCGCAAUGGGCGAAAGCCUGACGCAGCCAUGCCGCGUGAAUGAUGAAGGUCUUAGGAUUGUAAAAUUCUUUCACCGGGGACGAUAAUGACGGUACCCGGAGAAGAAGCCCCGGCUAACUUCGUGCCAGCAGCCGCGGUAAUACGAAGGGGGCUAGCGUUGCUCGGAAUUACUGGGCGUAAAGGGAGCGUAGGCGGAUAGUUUAGUCAGAGGUGAAAGCCCAGGGCUCAACCUUGGAAUUGCCUUUGAUACUGGCUAUCUUGAGCGUGGGAGAGGUAUGUGGAACUCCGAGUGUAGAGGUGAAAUUCGUAGAUAUUCGGAAGAACACCAGUGGCGAAGGCGACAUACUGGCCCAUUACUGACGCUGAGGCUCGAAAGCGUGGGGAGCAAACAGGAUUAGAUACCCUGGUAGUCCACGCUGUAAACGAUGAGUGCUAGUUGUCGGCAGGCAUGCCUGUCGGUGACGCAGCUAACGCAUUAAGCACUCCGCCUGGGGAGUACGGUCGCAAGAUUAAAACUUAAAUGAAUUGACGG
RNAcentral lists this ribosomal RNA (560 nucleotides) under uncultured bacterium. Its description in RNAcentral is "bacterial SSU rRNA". It matches the Rfam family "Bacterial small subunit ribosomal RNA", at positions 338 to 916 of the family's 1533-position model. The record is from RNAcentral.